Molecule: ribosomal RNA, 253 nt
Filed under: uncultured bacterium
Lineage: Bacteria
Description: partial 16S ribosomal RNA
Rfam family: Bacterial small subunit ribosomal RNA
Source: RNAcentral
UACGUAGGGGGCGAGAGUUGUCCGGAUUUACUGGGUGUAAAGGGUGCUCAGGUGGAUUUGUAAGUCAGAGGUGAAAUCCCAAAGCUUAACUUUGGAGCUGCCUUUGAUACUGCAAGUCUUGAGAUUGAGAGAGGGUAAUGGAAUAUCUGGUGUAGCAGUGAAAUGCGUAGAUAUCAGAUAGAACACCAAUGGCGAAGGCAGUUACCUGGCUCACAUCUGACGCUAAAGCACGAAAGUGUGGGGAGCAAACAGG